GUGGGGAAUAUUGGGCAAUGGGGGAAACCCUGACCCAGCAACGCCGCGUGAAGGAAGAAGGUUUUCGGAUCGUAAACUUCUAUCCUUGGUGAAGAUAAUGACGGUAGCCAAGAAGGAAGCCCCGGCUAACUACGUGCCAGCAGCCGCGGCAAUACGUAGGGGGCAAGCGUUGUACGGAAUGAUUGGGCGUAAAGGGCGCGUAGGCGGCCUGGUAAGUCUGGAGUGAAAGUCCUGCUUUUAAGGUGGGAAUUGCUUUGGAUACUGUCGGGCUUGAGUGCAGGAGAGGUAAGCGGAAUUCCCGUUGUAGCAGUGAAAUGCGUAGAGAUCGGGAGGAACACCAGUGGCGAAGGCGGCUUACUGGACUGUAACUGACGCUGAGGCGCGAAAGUGUGGGGAGCAAACAGGAUUAGAAACCCCUGUAGUCC
Molecule: ribosomal RNA, 425 nt
Filed under: uncultured bacterium
Lineage: Bacteria
Description: partial 16S ribosomal RNA
Rfam family: Bacterial small subunit ribosomal RNA
Source: RNAcentral